GGGCGUAAGCGCGCGCAGGUGGUUUCUUAAGUCUGAUGUGAAAUCCCACGGCUCAACCGGGGAAGUGCAUUGGAAACUGGGAGACUUGAGUGCUGAAGAGGAAAGUGGAAUUCCAUGUGUAGCGGUGAAAUGCGUAGAGAUAUGGAGGAACACCAGUGGCGAAGGCGACUUUCUGGUCUGUAACUGACACUGAGGCGCGAAAGCGUGGGGAGCAAACAGGAUUAGAUACCCUGGUAGUCCACGCCGUAAACGAUGACUGCUUGGUGGUAGAGGGUUUCCGCCCUUUAUUGCUGAACUUAACGCAUUAAUCACUCCGCCGGGGGAGUACGGCCGCAAGGCUGAAACUCAAAGGAAUUGACGGGGGCCCGCACAAGCGGUGAAGCAUGUGGUUUAAUUCAAAGCAACGCGAAGAACCUUACCACGCCUUGACAUCCUCUGACAACCCUAAAGAUAGGUCUUCUCCUUCG
This 467-nucleotide ribosomal RNA is filed under the name Bacillus cereus. RNAcentral describes it as "bacterial SSU rRNA". It matches the Rfam family "Bacterial small subunit ribosomal RNA", at positions 556 to 1022 of the family's 1533-position model. Lineage: Bacteria; Bacillati; Bacillota; Bacilli; Caryophanales; Bacillaceae. The record is from RNAcentral.